GACGAACGCUGGCGGCGUGCCUAAUACAUGCAAGUUGAGCGCUGAAGGCUGGUACUUGUACCAACUGGAUGAGCAGCGAACGGGUGAGUAACGCGUGGGGAAUCUGCCUUUGAGCGGGGGACAACAUUUGGAAACGAAUGCUAAUACCGCAUAAAAACUUUAAACACAAGUUGUAAGUUUGAAAGAUGCAAUUGCAUCACUCAAAGAUGAUCCCGCGUUGUGUUAGCUAGUUGGUGAGGUAAAGGCUCACCAAGGCGAUGAUACAUAGCCGACCUGAGAGGGUGAUCGGCCACAUUGGGACUGAGACACGGCCCAAACUCCUACGGGAGGCAGCAGUAGGGAAUCUUCGGCAAUGGACGAAAGUCUGACCGAGCAACGCCGCGUGAGUGAAGAAGGUUUUCGGAUCGUAAAACUCUGUUGGUAGAGAAGAACGUGCGUGAGAGUGGAAAGCUCAUCAAGUGACGGUAACUACCCAGAAAGGGACGGCUAACUACGUG
Molecule: ribosomal RNA, 497 nt
Filed under: uncultured bacterium
Lineage: Bacteria
Description: partial 16S ribosomal RNA
Rfam family: Bacterial small subunit ribosomal RNA
Source: RNAcentral